CAAAGAAAGAUGACUCCAAUUUAUUGUCUUGAAACUACAAAAAUGCUUGUUUUUGGCCCCUUUUUUGCCCUUUAUUCCUAGACUGUUUGCCCCAUAACCCUUAAAAUAUAUCUCAACCUUCUACUUAUGGUAUUAAACAUUGUGGUACAAUUUCAGAACAAUUGAAAUAUUUAUACACAACUUAUUGUCCUGACACUAGAUAAAUGCUUGUUUUGGACCCCUUUGGACCCCUAAUUCCUUAACCUUAGGGACCAUAACCCCCAAAAUCAAUCCAAAGCUUCCUUUUGUGGUUAUAAACAUUGUGUUAAAAUUUUAUUGAUUUCUAUUUACUUAUACUAAAGUUGUCCUGACACUAGAUAAAUGCUUGUUUUGGGCCCCUUAGUCCUAAACCUUAGGGACCAUAACCCCCAAAAUCAUUCCAAAGCUUCCUUUCGUG
Molecule: long non-coding RNA, 436 nt
Filed under: Mytilus galloprovincialis (Mediterranean mussel)
Lineage: Eukaryota; Metazoa; Mollusca; Bivalvia; Mytilida; Mytilidae
Source: RNAcentral